This 819-nucleotide ribosomal RNA is filed under the name uncultured bacterium. RNAcentral's name for it is "bacterial SSU rRNA". It matches the Rfam family "Bacterial small subunit ribosomal RNA", at positions 8 to 872 of the family's 1533-position model. The record is from RNAcentral.
AGAGUUUGAUCCUGGCACAGAACGAACGCUGGCGGCAGGCCUAACACAUGCAAGUCGAACGCUCGUAGCAAUACGAGAGUGGCAGACGGGUGCGGAACACGUGGGAACAUACCCUUUGGUUUGGAAUAACUCAGGGAAACUUGAGCUAAUACCGGAUAAGCCCGUAAGGGGAAAGAUUUAUCGCCGAAGGAUUGGCCCGCGUCCGAUUAGCUAGUUGGUGAGGUAAUGGCUCACCAAGGCGACGAUCGGUAGCUGGUCUGAGAGGAUGAUCAGCCACAUUGGGACUGAGACACGGCCCAAACUCCUACGGGAGGCAGCAGUGGGGAAUAUUGGACAAUGGGCGCAAGCCUGACCCAGCCAUGCCGCGUGAGUGAUGACGGCCCUAGGGUCGUAAAGCUCUUUCACCCACGACGAUAAUGACAGUAGUGGGAGAAGAAGCCCCGGCUAACUUCGUGCCAGCAGCCGCGGUAAUACGAAGGGGGCUAGCGUUGUUCGGAUUUACUGGGCGUAAAGCGCGCGUAGGCGGAUCUUUAAGCCAGGGGUGAAAUGCCGGAGCUCAACUUCGGAACUGCCUUUGAUACUGGAGAUCUUGAGUUCGGGAGAGGUGAGUGGAACUGCGAGUGUAGAGGUGAAAUUCGUAGAUAUUCGCAAGAACACCAGUGGCGAAGGCGGCUCACUGGCCCGAUACUGACGCUGAGGCGCGAAAGCGUGGGGAGCAAACAGGAUUAGAUACCCUGGUAGUCCACGCCGUAAACGAUGGAUGCUAGCCGUUAGGCAGCUUGCUGCUUAGUGGCGCAGCUAACGCUUUAAGCAUCCCGC